Long non-coding RNA from Pieris brassicae (large cabbage white), 1840 nucleotides. RefSeq lists it as uncharacterized. NCBI's taxonomy places the organism in Eukaryota, Metazoa, Arthropoda, Insecta, Lepidoptera, Pieridae. The record is from RefSeq and is a predicted model, not a curated record. The transcript is spliced from 3 exons.
UUUUUACUAUUAUUUAUAAAUAUUAUAAACUGGAAUCUAACAGUAGGAUGUUAAAGCCGAUUCUUCAGAAUUUAUUAUAUUUUCGAAAUGAAACGCAUGAAGUGAUAUAAUUGAUGGAUAAUUCUGAUUUGUUUGAAGAGGCCUGAUGAAAUCUAGGAUUUUGUAAAAGCUCAGUUGUAAUCGUACCAAUGAUGAAGACUAUAGAAAACUCAUUUUAGAAUUCAUGACUAGGCAUAUGAAUGAACAACUAAAUGAAAGUUACAGUUUUUCAUUACUCAAAUAGGCGAAGGAAAAUAGUAUGCGAUACGACUUAAGAAACAUUAUGUAAGAUUUUUCGACUUGCGAGGCGGAUUACGUAUGCAAAAACCGGAGAAGUGAUAUUUAUAGAUCUUUGGGUGUUUUUAAAUUUUGGUAUAAUUUUAUAAGUAUAUUUUUUUAAUAACUCAAUAAUACUUCAGUCUAAUAAUACUAAUGCAUUUCAAGCCUGCUUAGCGAAGGAGCAGGUUCUACACCCGUCUGUGCUCUAAUGGAUUCACAACAACAAUAUAAGUAGAAACUGGCAUGCCUUAUACCCAAAGUGUACCUACGCCGUGUGUCAGGUGCAGAAGGCUGAUUACCUACUUGCUUAUUGGAAAAUAAAAUAAUCACCAGACAUAAAUCGGAGGCCAAGACCAAGUCGCCAUUUGUAGCCAAUUACUUAUUUUGAUAACAAUUGUCAAAUUGAACUAACUAUAUGUUUCUUUACGUCCCGUUGUUAAACACAAUUUAACAGAAAAGUACGAUUGUUUGAGCUACUGGUCAUACGAUUUCUAUCGCGCGGCGUACAGACGACGAGAAACGACUAAUUGCGACUUGUUUUGCACCACAUAGAUUCUUGACGUCCGUCGUUUCACGUUUCCUUUUUAAGGCAGUUUUGAACUGUGAAGUAUUUCCUAACCAAUUCUAAUUAGGGUCCUUCAAGGCUUUGCUUGCUAACGAUGUUGCGGAUGCCUUUCAAUCGUUCGGACUUGGGGAUGGUUCACAUUGACUACCCUUUGAGUACCUUGUGGAGCGCCAUCUAGUCAGUGCAUUGUUAUAGUGAAACUAUAGAAUUCGUCGCUGCAUGAUGAAACACAAUAUCAUAUUAUGGAGUAUAAGAUACAGGUACCGCUUAUUGCACGUCAUUAUCGGUAGACUUCCCUACUCAUCGGCAAAGAAGAAAGCGGGUCUACGCCGAGAGAAGAAACCAAAAAGGAGGGAUACGGUCCGCUCUUUAUUUAUGUAAAAUUACAAAACUGAACGGAAACCUCGCUGUCCAGUUUCCGGAAGCGGCACCUGAUCACAGGCAUGACCUGUGAGCCAGAUAUCGUUUUACUCAACCAUAUUUGAGGGAAUUAAACGACCCGUCAUACAACGCCACCGUCCCAGUCACAUUUGAGUAAGCAUGACUUCUCCGGCUUCCCAGUUAAUAAAACUAAACCUAGUACGCAUGUCUCGCAUCUCCCUUCCUCCAGGCCCUACAAGCUGGAACGAGAAAACAGCACCACAAGACAGUAAGUAAAAAUGACUAAAAAAGAAUCACAAGACUGCAUGUGGUGCCGAAAUAUAAUUCCACUGCCAUUCGCUGGAACACUUAUUUUAAAACAAAUAUCGCAAAAUAAUUAGAAGUAGCUUGUCUAGCACUAGUCCCAGGCCCUUUUAUCUACAAGAAAAUCGUUAAUUCAUAGGAACAUUAACGUUAGUCAUAUCGUCAUAAACUGUCAAACUGGUUUAAUCACUUUUUUUGUUGACGGAUAAAGAUUUAGUUCGGAUUAUUAUACGCUAAUUAUAUUAUUAUAACAUAAUAUCAUAAGAUAAAUUG